RNAcentral lists this ribosomal RNA (707 nucleotides) under uncultured bacterium. RNAcentral describes it as "bacterial SSU rRNA". It matches the Rfam family "Bacterial small subunit ribosomal RNA", at positions 66 to 787 of the family's 1533-position model. The record is from RNAcentral.
ACGGACGAGGCCCCUUCGGGGACCGAGUUAGUGGCGAACGGGUGAGUAACGCGUGAGGAACCUGCCUUUCAGUGGGGGACAACAGUUGGAAACGACUGCUAAUACCGCAUGAAGCAUUUAGGGGGCAUCCCCUGAAUGCCAAAGAUUUAUUGCUGAAAGAUGGCCUCGCGUCUGAUUAGCUAGUUGGAGGGGUAACGGCCCACCAAGGCGACGAUCAGUAGCCGGUCUGAGAGGAUGAACGGCCACAUUGGGACUGAGAUACGGCCCAGACUCCUACGGGAGGCAGCAGUGGGGAAUAUUGGGCAAUGGGGGAAACCCUGACCCAGCAACGCCGCGUGAAGGAAGAAGGCUUUCGGGUUGUAAACUUCUUUUACCAGGGACGAAGAAAGUGACGGUACCUGGAGAAAAAGCCACGGCUAACUACGUGCCAGCAGCCGCGGUAAUACGUAGGUGGCAAGCGUUGUCCGGAUUUACUGGGUGUAAAGGGCGUGUAGGCGGAGAUUCAAGUCAGGAGUGAAAACUAUGGGCUUAACCCAUAAACUGCUUUUGAAACUGAAUCCCUUGAGUAUCGGAGAGGCAGGCGGAACUCCUAGUGUAGCGGUGAAAUGCGUAGAUAUUAGGAGGAACACCAGUGGCGAAGGCGGCCUGCUGGACGACAACUGACGCUGAGGCGCGAAAGCGUGGGGAGCAAACAGGAUUAGAUACCC